GUUGGAUAACUGAGGUAAUUCUUGAGCUAAUACACGCUUUUUAUACCACAUUAGUGGUGCGUUUAUUUGAUUAAACCAUUUUUUCGGUUGACUCAAAAUAUCCUUGCUGAUUUUGUUAUUAAAACAUACCGUAUGUGUAUCUGGUUUAUCAACUUUCGAUGGUAGGGUAUUGGCCUACCAUGGUUGUGACGGAUAACGGAGAAUUAGGGUUCGACUCCGGAGAGGGAGCCUGAGAAACGGCUACCACAUCCAAGGAAGGCAGCAGGCGCGAAAAUUACCCAAUUUUAGUUCAAAGAGGUAGUGACGAAAAAUGACAACCAAAUAUUAUUAUUAAUAUUUGGAUUGAAAAUCUUCAAGUUUAAAUAACUUGUUGGUAAAGGAAAGGGCAAGUCUGGUGCCAGCAGCCGCGGUAAUACCAGCUUUCCAAGUGCAUAAAAUGAUUGUUGUGGUUAAAAAGCUCGUAGUUGGAUUAUAAAGAUUGUGUAAUGAGCAUCUUGGAUGUUUUAAUUUCAUUACCAUCUUAUUAUUUUUAUUAUAUUUUUCGUAAUAUAAUAAACUGUUACUUUGAAUAAAUCAGAGGGUUUAAACCAGGCAUUAUAUGCUUGUAUGGUCUAGCAUGGAAUAACACUAUAGAAAAAGUUAGUGUGGUUUCACUAAUCUUUUUCAUGAUUAAUAGGAACAAACGGGGGCAUUCGUAUCGCUACGUUAGAGGUGAAAUUCUUGGACCGUAGCGAGACGUCCUACUGCGAAAGCAUUUGCCAAGAAUGUUUUCAUUAAUCAAGAACGAAAGUUAGAGGUUCGAAGGCGAUCAGAUACCGCCCUAGUUCUAACCGUAAACUAUGCCUACUAGGUGUAUGAAUUAUUAGUUAUAAUAAUUUAUGCACCUUCUCGGAAACGAAAGUCUUUCGGUUCCGGGGGAAGUAUGGUUGCAAAGCUGAAACUUAAAGGAAUUGACGGAAGGGCACCACCAGGAGUGGAGCCUGCGGCUUAAUUUGACUCAACACGGGAAAACUCACCCGGGCCGGACACUAUAAGGAUUGACAGAUUGAUAGCUCUUUCAUGAUUUAGUGGUUGGUGGUGCAUGGCCGUUCUUAGUUCGUGGAUAUGAUUUGUCUGGUUGAUUCCGAUAACGAGCGAGACUUUUAUGUUAUAUUAAAUAAUAUUAUUAUUAUUUAUUAAUAAUAUUUAUUUUAAUAACAGAUUAAUAGUGUUUAACUAUUUGAGAGAGAGCAAUAACAGGUCUGUGA
This 1247-nucleotide ribosomal RNA is filed under the name Strongyloides venezuelensis. Its description in RNAcentral is "SSU rRNA". It matches the Rfam family "Eukaryotic small subunit ribosomal RNA", at positions 138 to 1467 of the family's 1831-position model. The record is from RNAcentral. Lineage: Eukaryota; Metazoa; Nematoda; Chromadorea; Rhabditida; Strongyloididae.